UUAAUUAAAGCCAAAAUAGAGGCAUUUCAUUGUUAAUGAAACUAAUGAUUUAUUUCUAAUUAAA
This 64-nucleotide transfer RNA is filed under the name Cicadellidae sp. 'Neodcortus squaras'. RNAcentral's name for it is "tRNA-Asn". The record is from RNAcentral. Lineage: Eukaryota; Metazoa; Arthropoda; Insecta; Hemiptera; Cicadellidae.